CUCAGGGAGGUAGUGACAAGAAAUAACAACACUGGAAAUUUUAUUUCUAGUGAUUGGAAUGAUGGGAAUUUAAACCCCUUUCAGAGUAACAAUUGGAGGGCAAGUCUGGUGCCAGCAGCCGCGGUAAUUCCAGCUCCAAUAGCGUAUAUUAAAGUUGUUGCAGUUAAAAAGCUCGUAGUUGGAUGUCUGCUGGAAGCAAUCAGUCCGCCCUAUUUGUAGGGUGUGCACUUGAUGAAUUCUGGCAUCUAUGUCCUAAUGUGAUAGAUACGGCGGUGUAUAUGGGUUAAUCCUAUAUACCCGUUUUUGUAUAUUAUAUUGGGAUAAUACCGUUACUUUGAGAAAAUUAGAGUGUUUGAAGCAGGCUAAUUGCCUUGAAUACUGCAGCAUGGAAUAACAAUAUAGGAUUUCGGUUCUAUUUUGUUGGUUUCUAGGACUGAAAUAAUGAUUAAUAGGGACAGUUGGGGGCAUUCGUAUUUAACUGUCAGAGGUGGAAUUCUUAGAUUUGUUAAAGACGAACUACUGCGAAAGCAUUUGCCAAAGAUGUUUUCAUUAAUCAGGAACGAAAGUUAGGGGCUCGAAGACGAUCAGAUACCGUCGUAGUCUUAACCAUAAACUAUGCCGACUAGAGAUAGGAAAAUGUCAUUUUUCUGACUU
RNAcentral lists this ribosomal RNA (654 nucleotides) under Sarcocystis hjorti. RNAcentral's name for it is "SSU rRNA". It matches the Rfam family "Eukaryotic small subunit ribosomal RNA", at positions 455 to 1077 of the family's 1831-position model. Lineage: Eukaryota; Apicomplexa; Conoidasida; Eucoccidiorida; Sarcocystidae. The record is from RNAcentral.